CUUAUCACAUUGAAACAUCAGUUCUCAUCUGAUCAUCAAAGUUAAGCAAGGUUGAGCCCGGCCCAUACCUAGAUGGGUGACUACUUGGAAAUACCAGGUGCUGUAA
This is a non-coding RNA of Acanthosepion pharaonis, 106 nucleotides long. NCBI's taxonomy places the organism in Eukaryota, Metazoa, Mollusca, Cephalopoda, Sepiida, Sepiidae. The record is from the annotation of a GenBank genome assembly.